Molecule: unclassified non-coding RNA, 351 nt
Filed under: soil metagenome
Description: partial contains 5.8S ribosomal RNA, internal transcribed spacer 2, and large subunit ribosomal RNA
Rfam family: 5.8S ribosomal RNA (bases 1-120)
Source: RNAcentral
GAUGAAGAACGUAGCGAAAUGCGAUAAGUAAUGUGAAUUGCAGAAUUCAGUGAAUCAUCGAAUCUUUGAACGCACAUUGCGCCCGCCAGUAUUCUGGCGGGCAUGCCUGUUCGAGCGUCAUUUCAACCCUCAGGCCCCCAGUGCCUGGUGUUGGGGAUCGGCCCAGCCUUCCUGUAAGGCCGCCGGCCCCGAAAUCUAGUGGCGGUCUCGCUGUAGUCCUCCUCUGCGUAGUAGCACAACCUCGCAGUUGGAACGCGGCGGUGGCCAUGCCGUUAAACACCCACUUCUGAAAGUUGACCUCGGAUCAGGUAGGAAUACCCGCUGAACUUAAGCAUAUCAAUAAGCGGAGGA